RNAcentral lists this ribosomal RNA (466 nucleotides) under uncultured bacterium. Its description in RNAcentral is "bacterial SSU rRNA". It matches the Rfam family "Bacterial small subunit ribosomal RNA", at positions 27 to 507 of the family's 1533-position model. The record is from RNAcentral.
CGGAUGAACGUUGGCGGCGUGCCUAAUACAUGCAAGUCGAACGAAGACUGUAGUAAUACUGUCUUAGUGGCGAACGGGUGAGUAACGCGUUGGUGAUCUGCCUUGAAGUGUGGAAUAACGCUCCGAAAGGAGCGCUAAUACCGCAUGUGCUCUCAAUUUUUAGAAACUUGAGAGGAAAGGAUUUAUUCGCUUCGAGAGGAGCCUGCGUCCCAUCAGCUGGUUGGUAGGGUAAAGGCCUACCAAGGCAAUGACGGGUAGGGGACCUGAGAGGGUGGCCCCCCACAAUGGAACUGAAACACGGCCCAGACUCCUACGGGAGGCAGCAGUGGGGAAUAUUGCACAAUGGGCGAAAGCCUGAUGCAGCGACGCCGCGUGAGGGAUGACGGCCUUCGGGUUGUAAACCUCUUUCAGCAGGGAAGAAGCGAAAGUGACGGUACCUGCAGAAGAAGCACCGGCUAACUACGUG